Molecule: ribosomal RNA, 433 nt
Filed under: uncultured bacterium
Lineage: Bacteria
Description: partial 16S ribosomal RNA
Rfam family: Bacterial small subunit ribosomal RNA
Source: RNAcentral
AAUGAACGCUGGCGGCAUGCCUAACACAUGCAAGUCGAACGAGACCUCCGGAUCUAGUUGCCCAUGCGUGCGUCACGCGUCGGAACCUUCACUUAUGGUUGGAAUACCUCUCCGACAGGGGUGCUAACGCCGGAUAAUGUCUUCUAACCAAAGAUAUAUCGCGCUUGGAUGGGCCCGCGUUGGAUUAGCUUGUUGGUAGGGUAAAAGCCUACCACGGCGAGGAUCCAUAGCUGGUCUGUGAGAAUGGUCAGCCACACUGAGACUGAGAAGCAGUCGGGAAUCCUACGGGAGGGGGCAGUGGGGGAUAGUGGAAAACGGGCGGAAGGCUGAUGGAGCUAGGCCGGGUAAGCGAUGAAGUCCGUAGAGAAGUAAAGCUCUUUUACCCGUGAUGAUAAUGACGGUACCGAGAGAAUAAGCUCCGGCUAACUCCGUG